Long non-coding RNA from Astatotilapia calliptera (eastern happy), 1526 nucleotides. The record is from Ensembl. NCBI's taxonomy places the organism in Eukaryota, Metazoa, Chordata, Actinopteri, Cichliformes, Cichlidae.
UGUAGUUGACAGCUGCUAACGGUGCAGGGACGGGUCUAACAAAAUUCUGCCAGGGGGCCAGGUAGGGCAUUAACAGGGAAAAGGGGGCGCAAAGAAAUACUUUUAUUUCUUAUUCUCAUUUAAAAUGUGUAGCUUUUAAUAAAGAAUUAUCUGAAUCUUACAAUCAAAGUUUUCAUCUGAUGUAAAAUGUAUAGAAAUCAUACAUAUACCAACAAGACUGUACAUCACUGUCACAACAGCGUUUGUUUUCAUUCAAAGGCUUUAUGGCUUUAAUACCUGGUGGGCCGGUCUGUAGUCAAAAUGCCCGGGCCAAUUUUUUGUCCCAGUCCAGCCCUGGGCACGACACGCAGUGAAGUAAUCUGGGAAGGUGCAUUAAAAAAUAAAUGGCUGGGCCAGUGGUGCACAUCGCAAAUUAGCUCACAUAGACACAUUAGUUGUGCCUCUUCUUAAUGACGGUAUCUUAGCUAACAACCCCAACUACCAGAUUCAACUUGUAAUUGGCUAAAAAUCACUUAGCCUACCGGUGAGAGGGACGUUGCUAGCUGUCAGCUUUUUCAAGCAAUGUUGAAAGUUGCACAUUCAGACACUUCAAAAGCUUCAGGAGCAUCAGCACCACGUAAAUACUCGGAUACAUCCGGAUACUCAAGACAGAAUUCACAAUGUGUUUUUGGGACUUUCAGAUGUUUGGACCAACGUUUUCUUUUCUGAUCAAACCAGAAAGCUUUAAUGAGCAGCUGGAUUUGUGUCGCAUUAACUGGCUGCACACAGAGGACAUCAAAAUGCAGCUGAUUGAACUGAAAAGCUCGACUCUGUGGGGUCAAAGUUUGCAGAUCUACGAACACAGCUGGAAUCCACAGGUGAUGUUUUCUUUAAGUCAUUUCACAGAUUUUCUCUAUAAUUUCAGUUCCUUGAAUAAAACAACAAAUUUAGGGGAUGAUUUUGUAAUCCGACUUUAUGUAUGAAAGAUUUGACUAAACAUAAAACAAUCUUCCAACUCAGUCGUCAUUCUUAUCUUGUGAAAUCAAACCAAAUGUUCUGUUGUCUCUAAAUCAGGGAUUGAUGAAAUCUUUGGUUGCAUCCAUUUAUGAACAUGUUCUCAUUCAUAUUAAAUCGUAGUCUAAGUCCUUCUUUAGAGGGAUAAAUGUCAUUCAUUAUCUUCAAAUGUGUUUCUGUUGUUUUGGGGGGAAGUUUGAAGUCCAUUGUUCAAAGUCUGUUAAUGAAACUUUAUGAAGUUUAUGUAGGAUGUUUUUCCUAUUUUGUAUUUGUUUGAAUUAUGAUGUAUUUCUGACUCUUUCUGCCAUGAUGCCAGGUCUCUCUGGAAAACAACAUUUUUAAUCUCAAUUAAAUUUUCACCUCGAGAAAUAAAGAUGAUAAUAAUAAUUUUGUCUUCAGGGAAUCAUUUCUCUGUAAAACAGCUUCUUCUGAAACUCUUGUUACAUUUCUUGUUUAUUGUUUGCUGGUUUUAGAAAAAUGUCAUCGUCUCUGUGUGAACUUAAACUCUACAUGUGGUGUCAGCUAUAAACGAG